UUGGAGGGCAAGUCUGGUGCCAGCAGCCGCGGUAAUUCCAGCUCCAAUAGCGUAUAUUAAAGUUGUUGCAGUUAAAAAGCUCGUAGUUGAAUUUCGGGGUUUAUCCGUUGGUCGGGCUUUUGGGUCUGUACUGGCGUGAUGAAUUCCUCUUCUGAAUAACCAGCAUGUCAUUAAUUUGGUGCGCCGGGGAAGCAGGACUGCUACCUUGAAAAAAUUAGAGUGCUUAAAGCAAGCUAUUGCCUGAAUACAUUAGCAUGGAAUAAUGAAAUAGGACGGCAUGGUUCUAUUUUGUUGGUUUCUAGGAUCACCGUAAUGAUUAAUAGGGAUAGUUGGGGGCAUUAGUAUUCAAUCAUCAGAGGUGAAAUUCUUGGAUUUAUUGAAGACUAACUUCUGCGAAAGCAUUUGCCAAGGAUGUUUUCAUUAAUCAAGAACGAAAGUUAGGGGAUCGAAGACGAUCAGAUACCGUCGUAGUCUUAACCAUAAGCUAUGCCGACUAGGGAUCGGACGAUGUUAAUUUUUUAAUGACUCGUUCGGCGCCUUACGGGAAAC
RNAcentral lists this ribosomal RNA (549 nucleotides) under uncultured Glomeromycotina. Its description in RNAcentral is "SSU rRNA". It matches the Rfam family "Eukaryotic small subunit ribosomal RNA", at positions 548 to 1098 of the family's 1831-position model. The record is from RNAcentral. Lineage: Eukaryota; Fungi; Glomeromycota.